AGAGUUUGAUCAUGGCUCAGAUUGAACGCUGGCGGCAGGCCUAACACAUGCAAGUCGAACGGUAACAGGAAGCAGCUUGCUGCUUGGCUGACGAGUGGCGGACGGGUGAGUAAUGUCUGGGAAACUGCCUGAUGGAGGGGGAUAACUACUGGAAACGGUGGCUAAUACCGCAUAACGUCGCAAGACCAAAGAGGGGGACCUUCGGGCCUCUUGCCAUCAGAUGUGCCCAGAUGGGAUUAGCUUGUUGGUGAGGUAACGGCUCACCAAGGCGACGAUCCCUAGCUGGUCUGAGAGGAUGACCAGCCACACUGGAACUGAGACACGGUCCAGACUCCUACGGGAGGCAGCAGUGGGGAAUAUUGCACAAUGGGCGCAAGCCUGAUGCAGCCAUGCCGCGUGUAUGAAGAAGGCCUUCGGGUUGUAAAGUACUUUCAGCGGGGAGGAAGGUGUUGUGGUUAAUAACCGCAGCAAUUGACGUUACCCGCAGAAGAAGCACCGGCUAACUCCGUGCCAGCAGCCGCGGUAAUACGGAGGGUGCAAGCGUUAAUCGGAAUUACUGGGCGUAAAGCGCACGCAGGCGGUCUGUCAAGUCGGAUGUGAAAUCCCCGGGCUCAACCUGGGAACUGCAUUCGAAACUGGCAGGCUUGAGUCUUGUAGAGGGGGGUAGAAUUCCAGGUGUAGCGGUGAAAUGCGUAGAGAUCUGGAGGAAUACCGGUGGCGAAGGCGGCCCCCUGGACAAAGACUGACGCUCAGGUGCGAAAGCGUGGGGAGCAAACAGGAUUAGAUACCCUGGUAGUCCACGCCGUAAACGAUGUCUACUUGGAGGUUGUGCCCUUGAGGCGUGGCUUCCGGAGCUAACGCGUUAAGUAGACCGCCUGGGGAGUACGGCCGCAAGGUUAAAACUCAAAUGAAUUGACGGGGGCCCGCACAAGCGGUGGAGCAUGUGGUUUAAUUCGAUGCAACGCGAAGAACCUUACCUGGUCUUGACAUCCACAGAAGAAUCCAGAGAUGGAUUUGUGCCUUCGGGAACUGUGAGACAGGUGCUGCAUGGCUGUCGUCAGCUCGUGUUGUGAAAUGUUGGGUUAAGUCCCGCAACGAGCGCAACCCUUAUCCUUUGUUGCCAGCGGUCCGGCCGGGAACUCAAAGGAGACUGCCAGUGAUAAACUGGAGGAAGGUGGGGAUGACGUCAAGUCAUCAUGGCCCUUACGACCAGGGCUACACACGUGCUACAAUGGCGCAUACAAAGAGAAGCGACCUCGCGAGAGCAAGCGGACCUCAUAAAGUGCGUCGUAGUCCGGAUUGGAGUCUGCAACUCGACUCCAUGAAGUCGGAAUCGCUAGUAAUCGUGGAUCAGAAUGCCACGGUGAAUACGUUCCCGGGCCUUGUACACACCGCCCGUCACACCAUGGGAGUGGGUUGCAAAAGAAGUAGGUAGCUUAACCUUCGGGAGGGCGCUUACCACUUUGUGAUUCAUGACUGGGGUGAAGUCGUAACAAGGUAACCGUAGGGGAACCUGCGGUUG
RNAcentral lists this ribosomal RNA (1522 nucleotides) under Salmonella enterica subsp. enterica serovar Infantis. RNAcentral describes it as "bacterial SSU rRNA". It matches the Rfam family "Bacterial small subunit ribosomal RNA". Lineage: Bacteria; Pseudomonadati; Pseudomonadota; Gammaproteobacteria; Enterobacterales; Enterobacteriaceae. The record is from RNAcentral.